RNAcentral lists this ribosomal RNA (439 nucleotides) under Penaeus monodon (black tiger shrimp). Its description in RNAcentral is "partial 16S ribosomal RNA". It matches the Rfam family "Bacterial large subunit ribosomal RNA", at positions 1918 to 2558 of the family's 2925-position model. Lineage: Eukaryota; Metazoa; Arthropoda; Malacostraca; Decapoda; Penaeidae. The record is from RNAcentral.
UAUUUUUAAAGGGCCGCGGUAUACUGACCGUGCGAAGGUAGCAUAAUCAUUAGUCUUUUAAUUGAAGGCUUGUAUGAAUGGUUGGACAAAAAGUAAUCUGUCUCAAUUGUAAUAGUUGAACUUAACUUUUAAGUGAAAAGGCUUAAAUACUUUAAGGGGACGAUAAGACCCUAUAAAACUUGACAAUAAAUUAGUUAAAUUAUAAAUUGUUAGUAUAACUUGAUCUUAAUUAAUGUUUGUUGCGUUGGGGCGACGGGAAUAUAAUUAGUAACUGUUCUUAAAUACUUAUUAACAAGUAUAAUUGAAAAAUAAUUGAUCCUUUAUUAAAGAUUAAAAGAUUAAGUUACUUUAGGGAUAACAGCGUAAUCUUCUUUGAGAGUCCUCAUCGACAAGAAGGUUUGCGACCUCGAUGUUGAAUUAAGGUAUCCUUAUAAUGCAG